GUUGUAUGGUUAAGCGACUAAGCGUAUACGGUGGAUGCCUUGGCAGUCAGAGGCGAUGAAGGACGUAGUAACUUGCGAAAAGCGUUGGCGAGCUAGUAACAAGCAUUUGAGCUAACGAUGUCCGAAUGGGGGAACCCGGCCGCAUAAGCGGUCAUCAUGUGGUGAAUACAUAGCUACAUGAGGCAAACGAGGGGAACUGAAACAUCUAAGUACCCUUAGGAAAAGAAAUCAACCGAGAUUCCCCUAGUAGCGGCGAGCGAACGGGGAUUAGCCCUUAAGUCAGAGGGGUGUUAGUGGAAUGGUCUGGAAAGUCCAGCGGCACAGGGUGAUAGCCCCGUACACGAAAACUAACCUUUGAUGAAAACGAGUAAGGCGGGACACGUGAUAUCCUGUUUGAAUAUGGGGGGACCAUCCUCCAAGGCUAAAUACUCCUGACUGACCGAUAGUGAACCAGUACCGUGAGGGAAAGGCGAAAAGAACCCCUGUGAGGGGAGUGAAAUAGAACCUGAAACCGUAUACGUACAAGCAGUGGGAGCGGUUCUUGAGACCGUGACUGCGUACCUUUUGUAUAAUGGGUCAGCGACUUACGUUUUGUAGCGAGGUUAAGCGAAUAGCGGAGCCGUAGGGAAACCGAGUGUUAACUGCGCGUUUAGUUGCAAGGCGUAGACCCGAAACCCGGUGAUCUAGCCAUGGGCAGGUUGAAGGUUGAGUAACAUCAACUGGAGGACCGAACCGACUAAUGUUGAAAAAUUAGCGGAUGACUUGUGGCUGGGGGUGAAAGGCCAAUCAAACCGGGAGAUAUCUGGUUCUCCUCGAAAGCUAUUUAGGUAGCGCCUCGAGCGAAUACCAUUGGGGGUAGAGCACUGUUAAGGCUAGGGGGUCAUCCCGACUUACCAACCCUUUGCAAACUCCGAAUACCAAUGAGUACUACUCGGGAGACAGACGGCGGGUGCUAACGUCCGUCGUCAAAAGGGAAACAACCCAGACCGUCAGCUAAGGUCCCAAAGUGUAUGUUAAGUGGGAAACGAUGUGGGAAGGCUUAGACAGCUAGGAUGUUGGCUUAGAAGCAGCCAUCAUUUAAAGAAAGCGUAAUAGCUCACUAGUCGAGUCGGCCUGCGCGGAAGAUGUAACGGGGCUAAACAUACCACCGAAGCUACGGGUGCAAUUCAUUAGAGUUGCGCGGUAGAGGAGCGUUCUGUAAGCCGUUGAAGGUGAAGGGGUAACCCACACUGGAGGUAUCAGAAGUGCGAAUGCUGACAUGAGUAACGAUAAAGGGGGUGAAAAACCCCCUCGCCGAAAGACCAAGGGUUCCUGUCCAACGUUAAUCGGGGCAGGGUGAGUCGACCCCUAAGGUGAGGCCGAAAGGCGUAAUCGAUGGGAAACAGAUUAAUAUUUCUGUACUUCCGCUAACUGCGAUGGAGAGACGGAGAAGGCUAGGCUAGCGCGGCGUUGGUAGUCCGCGUUUAAGGUGGUAGGUGGGUGACUUAGGCAAAUCCGGGUCACUAUACACUGAGAGCUGAUGACGAGUCCCCAAGGGGAUGAAGUAGUUGAUGCCAUGCUUCCAGGAAAAUCUUCUAAGCUUCAGGUUAGCGGGAAUCGUACCCCAAACCGACACAGGUGGUCGGGUAGAGAAUACCAAGGCGCUUGAGAGAACUCGGCUGAAGGAACUAGGCAAAAUGGUACCGUAACUUCGGGAGAAGGUACGCU
RNAcentral lists this ribosomal RNA (1707 nucleotides) under Shewanella sp. DNRA4. RNAcentral's name for it is "partial 23S ribosomal RNA". It matches the Rfam family "Bacterial large subunit ribosomal RNA", at positions 1 to 1752 of the family's 2925-position model. Lineage: Bacteria; Pseudomonadati; Pseudomonadota; Gammaproteobacteria; Alteromonadales; Shewanellaceae. The record is from RNAcentral.